Molecule: ribosomal RNA, 688 nt
Filed under: Bacillus halotolerans
Lineage: Bacteria; Bacillati; Bacillota; Bacilli; Caryophanales; Bacillaceae
Description: bacterial SSU rRNA
Rfam family: Bacterial small subunit ribosomal RNA
Source: RNAcentral
GUCGAGCGGACAGAUGGGAGCUUGCUCCCUGAUGUUAGCGGCGGACGGGUGAGUAACACGUGGGUAACCUGCCUGUAAGACUGGGAUAACUCCGGGAAACCGGGGCUAAUACCGGAUGCUUGUUUGAACCGCAUGGUUCAAACAUAAAAGGUGGCUUCGGCUACCACUUACAGAUGGACCCGCGGCGCAUUAGCUAGUUGGUGAGGUAAUGGCUCACCAAGGCAACGAUGCGUAGCCGACCUGAGAGGGUGAUCGGCCACACUGGGACUGAGACACGGCCCAGACUCCUACGGGAGGCAGCAGUAGGGAAUCUUCCGCAAUGGACGAAAGUCUGACGGAGCAACGCCGCGUGAGUGAUGAAGGUUUUCGGAUCGUAAAGCUCUGUUGUUAGGGAAGAACAAGUACCGUUCGAAUAGGGCGGUACCUUGACGGUACCUAACCAGAAAGCCACGGCUAACUACGUGCCAGCAGCCGCGGUAAUACGUAGGUGGCAAGCGUUGUCCGGAAUUAUUGGGCGUAAAGGGCUCGCAGGCGGUUCCUUAAGUCUGAUGUGAAAGCCCCCGGCUCAACCGGGGAGGGUCAUUGGAAACUGGGGAACUUGAGUGCAGAAGAGGAGAGUGGAAUUCCACGUGUAGCGGUGAAAUGCGUAGAGAUGUGGAACACACACCAGUGGCGAAGGCCGACUCUC